UCAAGCUAUAAAGAGCGUAGGGAGAAUGACUUGGCAUCAGGAGCCGAAGAAGGACGUGACAAGCUGCGAAAAGCUGCGGUUAGGAGCAAAUAUCCAUAGACCCGCAGAUAUCCGAAUGGGGAAACCCGGUACGGCAAUACCGUAUCACUGCAUGGUAAAUACAUAGCCAUGUGGAGGAAACCCUCUGAACUGAAACAUCUAAGUAGGAGGAGGAAGAGAAAGAAACAUCGAUUUCCUAAGUAGCGGCGAGCGAAAGGGAAAGAGGCCAAACCAGAGAUAGCAAUAUCUUUGGGGUUGUGGACUGCAUAAUUGAUUCAAUAUUUUUAGCAGAAGUGUAUGGGAAGACACACCAUAGUAGGUAAUAGUCCUGUAAGCGAAAAGGAUAUUGACAAGGCAGGAUCCAGAGUACCACCGGACACGAGGAACCCGGUGGGAAGCCGGGGGGACCACCCCCCAAGCCUAAAUACUACCUGAUGACCGAUAGUGAAAAGUACAGUGAUGGAAAGUUGAAAAGAACCCCGGAAGGGGAGUGAAAAAGAAUCUGAAACCCUAUGUUUACAAGCUGCUAAAGCACCAUAUGAGUGCGAUAGCGUACUUUUUGUAGAACGGUCCGGCGAGUGUAUGUUGCAAGCGAGGUUAAGGUGUUAAGCACUGAAGCCGAAGGGAGACCGAGUGUGAAUAGCGCGUACAGUUUGCAGUAUACGACCCGAAACCGGGUGACCUAACCAUGGACAGGUUGAAGUGGAAGUAAAAUUCCAUGGAGGACCGAACCCACGUCUGUUGAAAAAGGCGGGGAUGAGCUGUGGUUAGCGGUGAAAUUCCAAUCGAACUCGGAUAUAGCUGGUUCUCAUCGAAAUAGCUUUAGGGCUAGCCUCAGGAUAGUUUAGCGGAGGUAAAGCACUGAAUGGGCUAGGGGGCUUCACGGCUUACCGAACCCUAUCAAACUCUGAAUGCCGCAUAAAUGUUUCCUGGGAGUCAGACUGCGUGAGAUAAGUUUCGUAGUCAAAAGGGAAAGAGCCCAGACCUACAGCUAAGGUCCCUAAAUGAAUUUAAGUGGAAAAGGAUGUGCAGUUGCGUAGACAACUAGGACGUUGGCUUAGAAGCAGCCACUCAUUUAAAGAGUGCGUAAUAGCUCACUAGUCGAGUGAUUGUGCGCCGAAAAUGUAACGGGGCUAAAAUUCAUACCGAAGCUUAGGAAUGAUAGUAAUAUUGUUGGUAGAUGAGCGUUGUGUAAGUCUGCGAAGCUACACCGAAAGGAGUAGUGGAGAUAUCACAAGUGAGAAUGCCGGAAUGAGUAGCGAGAAUUAUGUGAGAAUCAUAAUGGUCGAAAAUCUAAGGUUUCUUGAGGAAGGUUCGUCCGCUCAAGGUAAGCCGGGAGCUAAGGCGAGGCCGAGAGGCGUAGUCGAUGCACAUACGGUAAAGAUUCCGUAGCCACCGAAGUCGUUAAAUACAGGGACACAGGAACAUAGCCUAACCCCACCGUUGGUUGAGUGGGGCGUAAGGGAGCGAAAAAUAGUAGCGAAGUAGGUGAUUGUACACUGGCGAGAAAAGCUGUAUGUAUUGAUAAGGUGCCCGUACCGCAAACCGACACAGGUAGAUGAGGAGAGAAUCCUAAGACCAGCGGGAGAAGUGUUGUUAAGGAACUCGGCAAAAUGACCCCGUAACUUCGGGAUAAGGGGAGCCUACGCGAGUAGGCCGCAGAGAAUAGUCUCAAGCGACUGUUUAGCAAAAACACAGGUCUAUGCUAAAUCGAAAGAUGAUGUAUAUGGGCUGACGCCUGCCCGGUGCUGGAAGGUUAAGGGGAAGUGUUAGAGCAAUCGAAGCACUGAACUUAAGCCCCAGUAAACGGCGGCCGUAACUAUAACGGUCCUAAGGUAGCGAAAUUCCUUGUCAGGUAAGUUCUGACCCGCACGAAUGGCGUAACGACUUGAGAGCUGUCUCAACAACAUACCCGGCGAAAUUGAAGUACUGGUAAAGAUGCCAGUUACCCGUGAUAAGACGGAAAGACCCCAUGGAGCUUUACUGUAACUUGAUAUUGAAUUUUUGUAUUACAUGUACAGGAUAGGUGGGAGACAGAGAACUAAUGCCGCCAGGUGUUAGGGAGUCGAUGUUGGGAUACCACUCUUGUAAUAUGAAGGUUCUAACCUGCACCCGUGAAUCCGGGUGGGGGACACUGUCAGGUGGACAGUUUGACUGGGGCGGUCGCCUCCUAAAAGGUAACGGAGGCGUUCAAAGGUUGGUUCAGCACGGACGGAAAUCGUGC
This 2263-nucleotide ribosomal RNA is filed under the name human gut metagenome. RNAcentral's name for it is "bacterial LSU rRNA". It matches the Rfam family "Bacterial large subunit ribosomal RNA", at positions 3 to 2343 of the family's 2925-position model. The record is from RNAcentral.